UUUUUGUUUUGUGCGAGCAGAAGUGUGCAAGAGAUCUGCUAUGCUACCUGCUAAAGCCUCAUUGUGGUGCACGUGCUAUUGAAAUGGAAAAUGGAAAUGGCUUUUAGCACGUGGGAGUCGGGGUUAGAUAGAGGUUAUCUUGGUUUUCAUGACCCGGGAAUAAUGCUUAUCAGGGAAAACAAUUAUGGUGAAAAGGCAUCUUACUUGGCGAGUUCGAGGAGAAAUAUGAGCAUAUAGGUUUUUUCGGUUUUUUGAAAUCAAGAACCGGACCGGACCGAAACUGGUCGGUUUGACUCAAUUCAGUUUGAUUUCGA
Molecule: long non-coding RNA, 314 nt
Organism: Populus euphratica (Euphrates poplar)
Lineage: Eukaryota; Viridiplantae; Streptophyta; Magnoliopsida; Malpighiales; Salicaceae
Exons: 3
Source: RefSeq, a predicted model, not a curated record